UAGGGAAUCUUCCGCAAUGGGCGAAAGCCUGACGGAGCAACGCCGCGUGAGUGAUGAAGGUCUUCGGAUCGUAAAACUCUGUUAUUAGGGAAGAACAAAUGUGUAAGUAACUAUGCACGUCUUGACGGUACCUAAUCAGAAAGCCACGGCUAACUACGUGCCAGCAGCCGCGGUAAUACGUAGGUGGCAAGCGUUAUCCGGAAUUAUUGGGCGUAAAGCGCGCGUAGGCGGUUUUUUAAGUCUGAUGUGAAAGCCCACGGCUCAACCGUGGAGGGUCAUUGGAAACUGGAAAACUUGAGUGCAGAAGAGGAGAGUGGAAUUCCAUGUGUAGCGGUGAAAUGCGUAGAUAUAUGGAGGAACACCAGUGGCGAAGGCGACUCUCUGGUCUGUAACUGACGCUGAGGUUCGAAAGCGUGGGUAGCAAACAGG
Molecule: ribosomal RNA, 429 nt
Filed under: Bacteroidota bacterium
Lineage: Bacteria; Pseudomonadati; Bacteroidota
Description: Bacteroidetes bacterium partial 16S ribosomal RNA
Rfam family: Bacterial small subunit ribosomal RNA
Source: RNAcentral